Molecule: ribosomal RNA, 450 nt
Filed under: uncultured bacterium
Lineage: Bacteria
Description: partial 16S ribosomal RNA
Rfam family: Bacterial small subunit ribosomal RNA
Source: RNAcentral
GUGGGGAAUUUUGGACAAUGGGCGAAAGCCUGAUCCAGCAAUGCCGCGUGCAGGAUGAAGGCCCUCGGGUUGUAAACUGCUUUUGUACGGAACGAAAAGCCUGGGGCUAAUAUCCCCGGGUCAUGACGGUACCGUAAGAAUAAGCACCGGCUAACUACGUGCCAGCAGCCGCGGUAAUACGUAGGGUGCAAGCGUUAAUCGGAAUUACUGGGCGUAAAGCGUGCGCAGGCGGUUUUGUAAGACAGUGGUGAAAUCCCCGGGCUCAACCUGGGAACUGCCAUUGUGACUGAAAGGCUAGAGUGCGGCAGAGGGGGAUGGAAUUCCGCGUGUAGCAGUGAAAUGCGUAGAUAUGCGGAGGAACACCGAUGGCGAAGGCAAUCCCCUGGGCCUGCACUGACGCUCAUGCACGAAAGCGUGGGGAGCAAACAGGAUUAGAAACCCUGGUAGUCC